AGCUUGGCGCAGUGGUAGUAUCAUAGCCAAUGAGGUUUAUCUGAGGCGCAAUUAUUGAUGAUUUAUAAUUGCUGUUAGUCUGUUACCCUAUUUUAGCAGUACCAGAUUUUACACAAGCCACUCGAUU
This is a small nuclear RNA of Vulpes vulpes (red fox), 127 nucleotides long. Its record names the gene U4. It matches the Rfam family "U4 spliceosomal RNA". From Rfam's summary of the family: U4 small nuclear RNA (U4 snRNA) is a component of the major U2-dependent spliceosome. The structure of U4 snRNA from yeast and human has been reported. NCBI's taxonomy places the organism in Eukaryota, Metazoa, Chordata, Mammalia, Carnivora, Canidae. The record is from Ensembl.